GACGAACGCUGGCGGCGUGCUUAACACAUGCAAGUCGAACGCUGAACCCGCUUCGGUGGGGGAUGAGUGGCGAACGGGUGCGUAACACGUGGGCAACCUGCCCCCGGCUCUGGGAUAACUCCAAGAAAUUGGGGCUAAUACCGGAUGUGACCGCUGGCCGCAUGGGCUGGUGGUGGAAAGGGUUUCCGGCUGGGGAUGGGCCCGCGGCCUAUCAGCUUGUUGGUGGGGUAGUGGCCUACCAAGGCGACGACGGGUAGCCGGCCUGAGAGGGUGACCGGCCACAAUGGGACUGAGGCACGGACCAGACGCCAACGGGAGGCAGCGGUGGGAAAUAUUGCGCAAUGGGCGGAAGCCUGACGCAGCGACGCCGCGUGGGGGAUGACGGCCUUCGGGUUGUAAACCUCUUUCAGCAGGGACGAAGCGCAAGUGACGGUACCUGCAGAAGAAGCACCGGCCAACUACGUG
Molecule: ribosomal RNA, 465 nt
Filed under: uncultured bacterium
Lineage: Bacteria
Description: partial 16S ribosomal RNA
Rfam family: Bacterial small subunit ribosomal RNA
Source: RNAcentral